This 61-nucleotide transfer RNA is filed under the name Corythalia opima. RNAcentral's name for it is "tRNA-Glu". Lineage: Eukaryota; Metazoa; Arthropoda; Arachnida; Araneae; Salticidae. The record is from RNAcentral.
GAUUAUAUGGUGAAAGUAUCACGUUAUUGUUUCAUGAUAAAGAUGUUAUCUGUUAUAGUCC